RNAcentral lists this long non-coding RNA (1927 nucleotides) under Homo sapiens (human). RNAcentral describes it as "HSALNT0117626". The record is from RNAcentral. Lineage: Eukaryota; Metazoa; Chordata; Mammalia; Primates; Hominidae.
AGAGGGCAACUGCUCUGAGCUCAGGGCCUGGGGAGGUGACUGUGUGGCAGGCGGGGUCCUAUGUGGCAGGCAGGGUCCCGUGUGGGGAAUGCUCAGAGCCCUGCUGACUCCACUGGCUUCUGGGCAUUCCUGGUCUGACCUCCAGGCCGGCUCCUGGGACCCUACCAGUCUGAGGGAUGGGGAAGGAAAGGGUAGGGCGGGCAACUGUGCCCGAGAGGGGACCCCAGCUCUGGACUCUGGCUGGCUCGAAACACCUUGGGGCCAUGCCCAUCUGUCCAGUUGGGCUGUAGAGAGGCUUGGAGGAGCCACCGGAGUGAAGGAGGGUCGCCAGCGUCUUUAAGAAACCGCAGGAUGCUGACGCCCCUAGAGCCCCCAUUGGGUUGGUGAGGAAGUGGGGGCCCUGGGGGGAUGUGUGAGUUGUGUUCCUCUCAGCAAGUCUGGCUUCCUUGGGGGCCUAGGAGGGGACACUGAGGGCUUGCUGUCCCCAUGGGGAGGUUGUAAGGUGAGACUCUCAGGAGCUCCUUCCUCCUGUCUAGGGGGUGCCCCCUUCCCCCCACCUUUCUGGGGUGACAGGCCCGGGGGGGCCCCCAGAUUUUCUGAGGCCUGGGGGCUGGCCUGGCCGGCUGGGUCAGGAAGUGAAGGGCUGGCAUGGGGGAGGGAGGGGAGGACUGGAAAGUGCAUUCCAGGCGGGUGACACAGCCUGCGGCCUUGGGGUGGGGUGGGGCCAGGCUGGGCUGCCCUUCUCGGGAAGGUCCCUGGGAUCCAGCUCCCCGAGGAGGCAGAUAAGAGGGGUGGGGCCUGGCUGCAUGGGAAGAGGAAAUUCCAGGCCUGGGACAGCUGCUGCUGUCUUUCAAGGCUGGAUUCAAAUGCCACCUCCUCCUGGAAGCCGCCUCAGAUUCCUCUGCAGCCCCUGGACCAGGGGCGCCCUCCUCCAGGGACCCCGGCUCCCCUGGGCUCUGGUCAGGUCAGCCCCAGGCUGGGCCCUCCACGGCCCUGAUCCACCGCAGCGCACUCCUGCUGUGCACCCCUGCAGUGCACCCCAGAACCUAAGCAGGGCCUGGCCGGGCCGCCCACAACCACGGAGCUGGGGCAGACGGGUGGUUCGCACUCUUUCUUGCUGACGAGAACCAGGGCUCUCCAGCCGCUCCUGGCAGCCGUCUUGUCACCAUGAGGGAACCCAAGAGGAGGACCAAGAUGUGGAGCCGGACCCUUGAUCAGACCUCUCCUGAAUCCCGCCUCUGGGCUUCCCAGUAAGAUCCCUGACUGUGUUUGGGCUGAGUUUCUAUUUUCUGGAGCUGAACGCAUCAGCUGAAAUAGCCAGACUGUCCAACAGGCAGGUUAAGCCCCUGGUUCACGUGUUUGUCACCCAUCCUCACCUUCCAGAUGUCCAGUCCCAUGAGGGUGGGACUGUGUCCCUGCUGCGUCCCCUGACUAGAACGGGGUGGACACAGAGUACACAGUACGUGCAAAAUAAAUACUGUUGAAUGCAGCCGGGCGCAGUGGCUCACCCCUGUAAUCCCAGCACCUUGGGAGGCUGAGGCAGGAGGAUAGCUUGAGGCCAGAAAUUGGAGACCAGCUUGGGCAACUUAGCAAGAUCCUGUUGCUACAAAAACUUAAAAUACUGUUGAAUGGAAGUGUCUUAAAUCACACUAUCAAAGCAAGGGGGAGAGUGAGCGAGCGAGAGAGAGAGAAAUGGAGAGAUGGAGAGAGACAGAGACAUGGGGAGAGAUGGAGAGAGAGGGAGACAGAGACCGGGGGGAGAGACCAGAACAGAAACAGCAAUACAGAGAUAGCGAGAUGAGUGGGGAGACAGAGUGACGGGCCCUCUCUGGUAAUCUCACCCAGAAGUUUACAGUCAGCAGAUCUGGGGAUCAUUCUGGACACCACAGUUUGCUGUGUGGAUUAUUUUGGAUUUCGAGGAUGAGGG